UCUCCCAUUGGCCGGCCUCCUCCCCGCCCCCUCUCUGCUGACCAAUGAGCGCCGCCACCGCCCCCUCAACCACGCCUUCUGUUCCGCGCCGAGGGGCGUCGCGGCGCCGCCUCAUCGCGUCACUUCCUCCCCCUCCUCCCAUUGGUCCGAAGGAUCCCCGCCCCCUCCCGGCUGACCAAUGGGUAGCCGCCGAACGGCUCCGGGGGGCGGGGCGUGGCGCGGCGCCAUGGCGGCGGGGCGCGGCGGCGCUGGGAUGGCCGCGCCGGUGCCGGUGGCCGUGGCUGAAGCCGGUGCCGGUACCGGUGCCGUUCCCGCCGCCACCCGGCUGCAGGCCUACGCCUGGUGCCGUGAGUUCCUGGCCGGCUCCUGGAAGCUCAUCGGCCCCGACGAGUUCGCCAUUGCGCCCGUCAGCGGUGGGCUCAGCAAUCUGCUCUUCAAAUGCUCGCUGCCCGACCACGUGCGCAGUGUCGGGGAUGAACCCCGCCAGGUGCUGCUGCGUGUCUAUGGGGCCAUCCUACAGGGCAUGGAUUCCUUGGUGCUGGAGAGCGUCAUGUUCGCCAUCCUGGCUGAGCGGGCGCUGGGGCCACGGCUGUAUGGGGUUUUCCCCCAGGGGAGGCUGGAGCAAUACGUGCCGGUACGGUGUGGGGUGUGCUGGGAUGGGAGUGGGGGGUGGGGGGGUUUUAGGGGGGGUUGGGGAUGGGGGGGGGGUGGCGAUGCCGUUUGCUGAUAGCGAUGGGAGCGGAGCUCUUCAGCAUCUGCAUCCAUCGCAGCAUCGCAGGAUGGUUUGGGUUGGAAGGGACCUCAGGGAUGAUGAAGCUCCAACCCCUGUGCCAUGCAGGGCCAUAGGGACACCAUAGGGACACCAUUGGGAUACAUGGAGAUCCAUAGGGACAACGUGGGGACACCAUAGGGACACCACUGGGACACCAUAGGGACACAUGGGGACCCAUAGCGACACCGUAGGGAUACAUGGAAACCCAUAGGGAUACCAUAGGGAUACAUGGAGACUCAUAGGGACACCAUAGGGACACCACUGGAACACCAUAGGGACACAUGGAGACCCAUAGAGACACCAUAGGGAUACAUGGGGAACCCAUAGGAAUACGUGGGGACCCAUAGGGACACGUGGGGACCCAUAGGGAUACGUGGGGGACCAUAAGGAUACAUAGAGACCCUAUAGAGACGUGUAGGGACACCAUAGGGAUACAUGGAGACCCAUAGAGACACCAUAGGGAUACAUGGGGACCCAUAGGGACACGUGGGGAACCACAGGGACACGUGGGGGACCAUAGGGAUACGUGGGGGACCAUAACGAUACAUAGAGAUCCUAUAGAGACGUGUAGGGACACCACAGAGAUACAUGGAGACACAUAGGGACACCACUGGGAUACAUGGAGACUCAUAGGGACACCAUAGGGACACCACACCAUUGCAGUGUAUGGCAGCGGCGUGGGGAACCCAUAGGGAUACAUGGGGGACCACAGGGAUACAUAGAGACACAUGGAGACCCGUGGGGAACCAUAGGGAUACAUGGGGACCCAUAGGGACACCAUAGGGACACCAUAGGGAUACAUGGAGACCCAUAGGAACACCAUAGGGGUACAUGGAAUCACAGCAUCACAGAGUGGUUUGGGUUGGAAGGGACCUCAAGGAUGACGAAGCUCCAACCCCUGUGCCAUGCAGGGCCAUAGGGACACCAUAGGGAUACGUGGGGAACCAUAGGGAUACAUGGGGGACCAUAGGGACACCAUAGGGAUACCUGGGGAGCCAUAGGGAACCAUAGGGACACAUGGGGACCCAUAGGAACACCAUAGGGAUACAUGGAGACCCAUAGGGACACCAUAGGGACACCAUAGG
RNAcentral lists this long non-coding RNA (1857 nucleotides) under Phasianus colchicus (ring-necked pheasant). Its description in RNAcentral is "lncRNA (ENSPCLG00000016038.1)". Lineage: Eukaryota; Metazoa; Chordata; Aves; Galliformes; Phasianidae. The record is from RNAcentral.